This 254-nucleotide ribosomal RNA is filed under the name uncultured bacterium. RNAcentral describes it as "partial 16S ribosomal RNA". It matches the Rfam family "Bacterial small subunit ribosomal RNA", at positions 523 to 776 of the family's 1533-position model. The record is from RNAcentral.
GUACGUAGGGCGCGAGCGUUGUCCGGAUUUACUGGGCGUAAAGAGCGCGCAGGCGGUCGUUCAAGUCGCGUGUGAAAGCCUCCGGCUCAACUGGGGAGGGUCACGCGAUACUGAUCGACUCGAAGGCAGGAGAGGGUAGUGGAAUUCCCGGUGUAGUGGUGAAAUGCGUAGAUAUCAGGAGGAACACCUGUGGCGAAAGCGGCUCACUGGACCACAACUGACGCUGAGGCGCGAAAGCUAGGGGAGCAAACAGG